GGGCUGGUAGCUCAGUGGCAGAGCAGUGGCCUUUUAAGCCAAUGGUCGUGGGUUCGACCCCCACCCGGCCCACCA
Molecule: transfer RNA, 75 nt
Filed under: Chloroflexia bacterium SDU3-3
Lineage: Bacteria; Bacillati; Chloroflexota; Chloroflexia
Description: tRNA-Lys
Rfam family: tRNA
About the family: Transfer RNA (tRNA) molecules are approximately 80 nucleotides in length.
Source: RNAcentral